GGAGCAGGCUUCGCCGAAUGGUUAAGCUGUCCGCUUAGUACGCGCAAAAUAAUGAGUUCGAUUCCCAUCUGCUCCA
RNAcentral lists this transfer RNA (76 nucleotides) under Culex quinquefasciatus (southern house mosquito). RNAcentral's name for it is "tRNA-Thr". Lineage: Eukaryota; Metazoa; Arthropoda; Insecta; Diptera; Culicidae. The record is from RNAcentral.